AGCUAAUAGAUACCCGGGUAGUCCUGGCCCUCAACGUUGCUCGCUCGUUUUACGGAGUAUCGACCCUCUGUGAGACUAAAGCUAAACGCGGUAAGCGAGCCGCCUGGGUAGUACGAUCGCAAGAUUAAAACUCAAAGGAAUAGACGGGGACUCGCACAAGCAGUGGAUUAUGCGGCUUAAUUCGUCGGUAAACGAAGAACCUUACCAAGGUUAGAAACCCAACUGCAUCCGACCUGAAAGGGACGGAGCCUUCGAGGGUGUUGGGCAGGUGAUGCAUGGUCGUCGUCAGUUCGUGGUUUGAACUGUUCCCUUCAGUGGGGUAACGAACGCAACCCCCGUUGUCUGUUGCCUAUAUGGCCAGGCGAGACUGCUCCCUCACGGGAGAGGAAGGUGGGGAUGACGCCAGAUCAGCAUGUCCCUCUGAUACCUU
RNAcentral lists this ribosomal RNA (430 nucleotides) under uncultured bacterium. Its description in RNAcentral is "bacterial SSU rRNA". It matches the Rfam family "Bacterial small subunit ribosomal RNA", at positions 767 to 1210 of the family's 1533-position model. The record is from RNAcentral.